Molecule: ribosomal RNA, 851 nt
Filed under: uncultured bacterium
Lineage: Bacteria
Description: bacterial SSU rRNA
Rfam family: Bacterial small subunit ribosomal RNA
Source: RNAcentral
CUAAUACAUGCAAGUCGAACGAAUCUCUUUUAGAGAUAAGUGGCGAACGGGUGAGUAAUACAUAGGUAACCUGCCCCUGUGCGGGGGAUAACAGGAGGAAACUCCUGCUAAUACCGCAUAGCCAUGAGCACCGCAUGGAGCUCAUGCCAAAUAUCCUUUCGGGGAUAGCGCAGGGAUGGACCUAUGGCGCAUUAGCUUGUUGGCGGGGCAACGGCCCACCAAGGCAACGAUGCGUAGCCGGCCUGAGAGGGCGGACGGCCACAUUGGGACUGAGACACGGCCCAGACUCCUACGGGAGGCAGCAGUAGGGAAUUUUCGGCAAUGGGGGAAACCCUGACCGAGCAACGCCGCGUGAGCGAAGAAGGCCUUCGGGUCGUAAAGCUCUGUUGUAAAGGAAGAACGGCGCAUACAGGAAAUGGUAUGCGAGUGACGGUACUUUACCAGAAAGCCACGGCUAACUACGUGCCAGCAGCCGCGGUAAUACGUAGGUGGCGAGCGUUAUCCGGAAUCAUUGGGCGUAAAGAGGGAGCAGGCGGCCGCAAGGGUCUGUGGUGAAAGACCGAAGCUAAACUUCGGUAAGCCAUGGAAACCGGGCGGCUAGAGUGCGGAAGAGGAUCGUGGAAUUCCAUGUGUAGCGGUGAAAUGCGUAGAUAUAUGGAGGAACACCAGUGGCGAAGGCGACGGUCUGGGCCGCAACUGACGCUCAUUCCCGAAAGCGUGGGGAGCAAAUAGGAUUAGAUACCCUAGUAGUCCACGCCGUAAACGAUGGUCACUAAGUGUCGGGGGUCAAACCCCGGUGCUGCAGUCAACGCAAUAAGUGACCCGCCUGAGUAGUACGUUCGCAAGAAUGA